Astatotilapia calliptera (eastern happy) is the source of this 1638-nucleotide long non-coding RNA. The record is from Ensembl. Lineage: Eukaryota; Metazoa; Chordata; Actinopteri; Cichliformes; Cichlidae.
UGUGGAACUGCUUUCUUCAUUAAGACAUAGUGAUUCAUUCAGCACCCGGGCAUAAUAGCCAAACGAGUCCAGCGUGUUGUUUCUAUAGUAAUAUUUUUCUGUUUAUCUGUCAUGUCUCAAGAGAGAGCUGAGAACAGACUCCAACCUUUAACAUAAAUGCAAACCGUGUGUGACUGCAGCCUUAGCUUAGGGACUCAUUAUGCCACAUUUACUGCCAUGAAGCCAGGCAUUUGGAGAAAAAGCACCCAGCAUCAUUUUUCAGCCCAUACCUUCAACUUCUGUCUUUGCUACUUUUUAGUUUGAAAUUUGCUGAUUUGCAGCACCCAUGGACAAAUUGGUAAUUCAGUACUUUUAUAUAUCACAAAAUAUUUCAGUAGUGUACUUGCCUCGGGACUGUGCUUCAUGCCAGGUUUAACGUGCACUUUGUAACGCCUUGAUGUGUGGGCGAUUUGCUAUCACUGAAUAUGCAAUGAAGGCCACAUUUGAGUCAGUUAAUGUCUCAUCAGACUAAGGGCUAAAACAAGUUUAUGUCCUUUAAGCGUUUUAAAAGUGACUCACUCUGUAAUAUAUUCCGCCUUUAUGAAUUCCAAAUUAAUGUGGGUUUAUAUAUAAGUCAUUCGUUAUUAGUAGCUGCCAGGAGGGCUUGUAAUUUCCCCUGGCAUGACUUCAGACAGAAUCCUGAUGGCAGUCUUGAUGGGACUUAAUGAAACUUCACUGAGGAGAAUUGAGUAAAUUUGCAUGUUGACAAAGGAUGGGGAGGUAACAAGAUAAUGGAGGGGACUCUAAGUCUCCUAAGCCCACAUUUCUGGACAACAGGCUGAGGAGGCCUGUCCGAUUCCAAAAGAUUUGCUGAUACUGAACUGGCAAAAUGUUUUCUAUUUUUUUUUGUUUGUGAUGGUAAAUUUUGAGAUUUUGUGUUAUUUUGGUUCUGAAUUUUUUUUUUUUUUCAAGAGUGUUGCAGGAAGAAAAUAUCCAUCCAACCAUCCAACCAUCCAUUCUCCUCCGAUUCAGACUGGAGCGAGAGAAGUCGGGCUACUCUGUGGACAGGUCACCAGCCUAAAGCAGGGCUAACAAAGAGAGCCAGACUACCCUUCACACUUACAUCCACACCAAUGAGUGAUUUAAAAUCACCAGCUUACCUAACCCCACCAAGUGCAUGCAUUUGGACUUGGUAUUGCAACUCCACACCGAAAGGCAUAUUUGUUCUUUUAUUUCAGAUAAACCGAAGGCAGAAAUGGAUGUGACAGAGUUGAAUAUACUAAGACUUUUGUCAGGACUGACCAGGAGGUAUAGGAUUAGAAAUGAGCAGAUUAGAGACAAAGUUAGAGAGGCAAGGCUGAGGGUGUUUGGUCUUGUGCACGGGAUAGUAGGCAUAUUGCACAGAAGAUAAAGCUGCCAAGCAAGAGGAAAACCCACAGAGAAUAUUCAUGAAUUUUAUGAUGGGGAGGAUUCUAGGAAUAGGGUGAGAUGCAGGAAGAUGAUCCUCUGUGGUGAGCACGAAAACGAAAAAGGAUUUCAGAAAACAUGCACAUUAAAUAAUCGUCCUAAUGGAUCAAAUAAACUAGAGAGACUAUUUAGACAUAUUUAUAUGGUAAAAUACUUCUUUUGAAUUUCACCAUAGAUUUCUACAUAAUGAGC